UUACAACAACACUUAAAAAAAACUUUCUCACUGUUUGCCAACCAAACAAGUCUUUUAUGGGGGGGCAGAAAAGCAAGCUGAGUUGACAAAAAUUUGGAAACAACCUGACAUCAUAAUGCAGUUACUUCAGAUUCUUUGCUUUCUUCAAAAGCUGAUGUUAGGAAUAUAUUUACAUUGCUUGUCCUCCGCCUUUCCUGUUCAUUUCUUACAGGUAUUAUUCAUAUCUCUCGACAGAUUCUCAGAGGAGCAAUGGAGGAAUUAAUUAAGCAACAGAGGUAUAUACAUGUAAUAUUUUAUCCUUCUUCAUUCUGGAAAUUGUUUGAUUUUGUUUAUCAUCUUUUAAAUGAAUUGGAAUGGUUUAGUUGUAACUUUGAAAAUCCAUUGGUAUCUGAGUUUUGAAGAAGCAGGAGAUAUCAUUGACAAAGAAAAUAGGACAUCACGCACACUGUUUCUUUGAUAAAAGUUCACAAUAACUUCAAAUUUUUUCAAAUAAUUGAUUAUUAUCAAUUAUCUACAGAUUUUAGGCGAUAUUAUAUGCAUUUUUCUUUUACGAGUAAACUCACUAGGUUAAAAGCGUAGAUUAAAUACGGGUAUAGACGUUUAAC
RNAcentral lists this long non-coding RNA (605 nucleotides) under Carica papaya (papaya). Its description in RNAcentral is "long non-coding RNA (CPAP_LNC000737)". The record is from RNAcentral. Lineage: Eukaryota; Viridiplantae; Streptophyta; Magnoliopsida; Brassicales; Caricaceae.